Molecule: small nuclear RNA, 106 nt
Filed under: Canis lupus dingo (dingo)
Lineage: Eukaryota; Metazoa; Chordata; Mammalia; Carnivora; Canidae
Source: RNAcentral
GUGCUUGCUUUGGCAGCAUAUAUAAUAAAAAUGAAUGAUUCAGACUAGGUUAGCAUUGUCACUGUUUAAGGCUCUUAUGCAAGUUUGUGAAGAGACUGCCCUUUCC